GCGAAAAGAAAUAGAGUCUGCGUAUCCCGAAUCGAAAGCGUGGAAACCAGCUACUCGUAAUGAUCUUCUUGGAGCUGUUAAACUGCAUCGUUCAACAAGUACUUUGAGACACGCUUGACACUCUAUUCCCACUGCCUGCGAAAAUAACACGCUAAAUAGCGCUUACGGUUCUCCAUUCGGUAAUAUUUUGAACCAAAAACACUGAUUACAAAUGGUUUCAUAUUCUGAUGCUGUUUUAGUUAUUGAAUCAUGCGUACAACUCAAAAAUUUGUUUUGGUAUAUGAUUGCAUUACGUAUUGGCUUUACUGCAUAAAUUUGUUUUGAUUCCAUAUGUUUCAUGACAAAAUAUGUUUCGGAAUAAAUGUUGGAUUUAUGUCGACAUUGCAGUAAUCUUGUAAAUAAUUAUAAGUUGUUCUUAUUUUGGCACAUUAUUAUGUUAGUAUGCUUGCUGCUAAAAUUUGAUUUUAUGGAUGAUUCAUAUAAGGCUUCGGUUAUAUUACGUACUGUUUUGGCAUUGCUGCUGUUAUAGUUUUUUAUUAUUCUCCCUAAAAUCCUUUCUCGUCAAAUAUUUGAGUACGUUGUUGUAGGUUUUUGGUGUAAGAACAUCUUUGAGCAUCCUGUAUAUGGGGCAUUAGGGAAUUGUGUGGACAUUGUUAGCUGGUAUUCUCGGUUUAAGUGUGAUACUUUGGUGCAUAUUGAGUUGAUGAGUAUUAAUCAUGUUGGAUGGAUAUUUCCUAAAAAUUAUGUUCUAUAAUUUCCAAAUUUUCUGAUAUGGAUAAGCUUUUAAAUUAUUAAAGUAUUGCACAUUGUUAAUUAAGAUCUUAAUUUUAUUGCAAAUAAGUAUAGUUAUUGUUACUUGUUAAAACUCAAUUUUAUGUUUUGUUCCAAAAAGUAAAUUGGUUUGAUGCAAUAGUUAUUCAAAAGCUCUUUUGUUUUUGACCUUGAUGUGUAAAUAGUGUAAAUAAAUAAAUAUAAUAUUGGUUUUUUAUUCUCAUUAUGAUAAAGUCAGAUUAAA
Molecule: long non-coding RNA, 1015 nt
Filed under: Lathyrus oleraceus (garden pea)
Lineage: Eukaryota; Viridiplantae; Streptophyta; Magnoliopsida; Fabales; Fabaceae
Description: Pisum sativum (pea) long non-coding RNA (PSAT_LNC002219)
Source: RNAcentral